UGUUAAGCUGCCAAAACCAUUUAUCCAACAUCUUUCAUAUUUCCUUACGCAAACACAUAGAAAUCAGACAUAAUAAUCAAGAAUCUCCAAUAUAUAGGACAAACAGAAACAAAAAUGGUCUUUACAAAUCCAAAAUGUAACCUAAACGUUUUUUAGCCCCGAAUAAUGGUCUUCAACAAGAGUCUGAUUCAGUUUGUGCUUUAGGCUCUUUGUUCUUUAACAGGAGGAGCGAUUAACACAACCUGCUGCUGGCAAUGGUACAAAUAUCAACUAUAUUCAGACAGACAAUUCCUUUUUUUCCCAAUAAGACAUGGAGAAAAUUGAAUCUCGAAGGAAAAAAUAACUAAGGAAGUUAUAACAUUUACUGCCGUCAGAGGAAACCUCCAUCGGUCCAUUUGGAAUCUGAUUUUCCAGCAUGAACAGCAGCAUGAUUAUUGUUGGAUGCACUCUGGUAGUGAUUGUCGAAUCCAUCAUCCUGACCGUCAUCCCAUCCAGCCCAGUCAUCGUUCUUGUUGUUGGGUGCUGCUGCCGCCUUUGGAGGAUUUACUUUGCUUUUGUCUUCAUUGUCCCAAUCAUCCCACGACCCAGAGCUGACAGAAUUAACGUUCCUUCCAGAAGACUGGGCUCCUCCAGAAGCAUUCCAUCCUUUAGGAUCCUGAUUAAAGUCUUGAUAAUAGCCAUUCUUUUCACUUUCACCUCGUUGCCAGCUAUCAUUCUUCCAGGCUGGACUUUCCUUGGUAUAUUCCUCUACCUUCUGUGAAGCCAUGGCCAAGACUCCUUUCAUGAUACCCCAACUCUUUUGUCCAAUCUCACUUGUUUUUGCUGUGACAACGUUGACAGUUUCAUUAACCUUGGUAUCAUAUCCACCUUCUUUUACCUUAGAAGUCAACUCCUUUGUCCCCACUUGAACCACACUUGCAGCUGACUGUGCUGCCGUUGCAGCUAUCAUAGAUAACCUACCAAAUCCCUGAGUAACAGCAGAAAAAACAUCUCCUUGCUGAUUCAUGUUAUUCCUAGGCAUUGGGGCAGGAUUUGAUCCAAACCCAACAUACUUCCCUCCUUGAGAAGGCGGAAGCCCAUCAGGCCGGGACUCAUUCUCAGCCAUUUUCCUCGCAAAAAAGCUAUCUUUAUUCGCCGCUGACGCCUCAUACUGCUCCUUUGAGAUAUCAGCAGUCGACCUCGACCUAGCUGGUGCACCACCACUACUACCGCCACUCCUAAAAUCUCCCACCGUCUGAUUCCUCCGAAUAUCCUUAGUAUUACUACCACUAAACCCUCCAUCAUCAUUAUUAUCCCAACUAUCCCAUCCACCAUUCCUACUGCCACCACCGCUUGCGCCGCUGCUCAACGGUGGUCUACUACCAUUAUUACUAGCCGAUCCCCUCAGAACUUCCUUAACAACCGGCGGGUCUCUCCAGGGUUUCCCCUCAGCUAGGGAUUGGAUCCUGUCACGAUAAACAGUAGCAGCUUUUGUAUUGUAUUUGGUAACAAUAUCAGUUUCCUUCGGAAUCCCGUACUGUAAAACGAAUUUGUUGAAACUCUCGUUACCACCAAGCUCCAUUUUCCGGAUCUGGAUCUCAGACCAUGAAUCCAUGGUAACAGAUCGGACAAACGAGAUAUGUACCCCAAGUCCCCGAUGCUUACCGGAGCAUUCCAAGCACAUAAAAACUCCAUACGAAACUGAAGCCCAUUGAGGAUUCUUCUGAGAACAAUCAACACAGAUCUUGUUCCCCGGUUGAGCUUGAAGAUCUCGUAGCCUCCGUGAUGCCGCCAUCUGACCCGGAUCCGAUUCGGAAGUGACUCGAAAUCGGAUCUGUAAAGUGAUCGGAGAAUCGAAAAAUGAGAUCAACAAAGAGGAGAACUGAUCGGCCGGAGAAAUUGGGGUUUAAAGAGAGAGAAAAAUGGCCGACACCGUUAAAGAGAUG
RNAcentral lists this unclassified non-coding RNA (1925 nucleotides) under Hevea brasiliensis (rubber tree). The record is from RNAcentral. Lineage: Eukaryota; Viridiplantae; Streptophyta; Magnoliopsida; Malpighiales; Euphorbiaceae.